This 85-nucleotide transfer RNA is filed under the name Nitrosospira multiformis. RNAcentral describes it as "tRNA_Ser_TGA". It matches the Rfam family "tRNA". From Rfam's summary of the family: Transfer RNA (tRNA) molecules are approximately 80 nucleotides in length. Their secondary structure includes four short double-helical elements and three loops (D, anti-codon, and T loops). Lineage: Bacteria; Pseudomonadati; Pseudomonadota; Betaproteobacteria; Nitrosomonadales; Nitrosomonadaceae. RNAcentral also lists the same sequence under 1 other name. The record is from RNAcentral.
GGAAGAGUGGCCGAGCGGUUGAAGGCACCGGUCUUGAAAACCGGCAAUGGGCAACCAUUCGUGGGUUCGAAUCCCACCUCUUCCG